RNAcentral lists this ribosomal RNA (320 nucleotides) under uncultured eukaryote. RNAcentral describes it as "partial 18S ribosomal RNA". It matches the Rfam family "Eukaryotic small subunit ribosomal RNA", at positions 1470 to 1796 of the family's 1831-position model. The record is from RNAcentral.
CCCCUAGAUGUUCUGGGCCGCACGCGCGCUACACUGAACAGUUCAACAAGUCUUAACCUUGGCCGAUAGGUCUGGGUAAUCUUUGAACGCUGUUCGUGAUUGGGAUAGACCUUUGCAAUUAUGGGUCUUCAACGAGGAAUUCCUAGUAAACGCAAGUCAUCAGCUUGCAUUGAUUACGUCCCUGACCUUUGUACACACCGCCCGUCGCACCUACCGAUUGAAUGGUCCGGUGAAAUCUCGGGACGGCGGCUUGGUCGCUUGCGUCCGACUGCUGAAACUUGAUUAAACCAUAUCAUUUAGAGGAAGGUGAAGUCGUAACA